Molecule: long non-coding RNA, 580 nt
Filed under: Aquilegia coerulea
Lineage: Eukaryota; Viridiplantae; Streptophyta; Magnoliopsida; Ranunculales; Ranunculaceae
Description: long non-coding RNA (ACOE_LNC002034)
Source: RNAcentral
CUCAACUCUUUCAGCUGUAGUAACACCUCUCCCACCAGUAUUUUGUCCUCCUUCACCAACACCAGUAUUUUGUCCUCCCCAUCAAUAUUUUGUCCUCUCCCUCUACCUCUUGAUGGCAAGACUAUAGUUGUGCCAGUCUCAGCAUCCCACACAAUAUUUGGUGGCCUCAUCCUUGGUCUUCCCCCUUUAUUUGGAACAUCAGGUGCUUUUGUUUGGUCUAUAUCCUGUUCUGGUUCAUUUGUACAAGAUGUACUGUAGUGACCAAAUAUUCCACAUCUUUGACAUCUCUUGUCAUUUCUUCUUUUGCCAGUAACCUCAGCCUCAUAAGCAUCAAUCCUUCUUUGUCUUUUGUUUCUUCCAGGUCCUUUUUUCUUGAUGGGUGGCAAUACAUUCAGUUCAUUCAGUGGAAUCUGCCAAAUGGGAGGGGGGGGGGGGGUUAAGUCAAAUACAUGUUUAAGAAAUGUAAGUACUAUCAAUGUUUAGGUACCAAAACAAGUAAUACCAAUGUACUAACAUAGACAAUAGUAAACAUAGUGAGGGGUUAAGUCAAAGAACCUGCUUCCAUUUAGAAUCAUGGUUG